Non-coding RNA from Trichonephila inaurata madagascariensis, 75 nucleotides. The record is from the annotation of a GenBank genome assembly. Lineage: Eukaryota; Metazoa; Arthropoda; Arachnida; Araneae; Nephilidae.
GUCCCUGUAGCGUAAUGGAUAGUGCGUUGGAUUUCAAAUCCAAAGAUCGUGGUUUCGAAAAUCCCACCUGGGAUA